UACAGAGACUGCAAGCGUUACUCGGAUUCACUGGGCGUAAAGGGCGCGCAGGCGGACCGGUGUGUCAGAUGUGAAACCCCAGGGCUCAACCCUGGGACUGCGUCUGAAACUGCCGGUCUAGGGACUCGGAGGGGCUAGUGGAAUUCCUGGUGGAGCAGUGAAAUGCGUAGAUAUCAGGAGGAACACCAACGGCGAAGGCAGCUAGCUGGACGAGAUCCGACGCUCAGGCUCGAAAGUAUGGGGAGCAAAAAGG
This 253-nucleotide ribosomal RNA is filed under the name uncultured bacterium. RNAcentral's name for it is "partial 16S ribosomal RNA". It matches the Rfam family "Bacterial small subunit ribosomal RNA", at positions 524 to 776 of the family's 1533-position model. The record is from RNAcentral.